GGAAGUAUGGCAGAGUGACCGAAUGCGCUGGACUCGAAAUCCGGUAUACCCACUAUCUGGGUAUCGGGGGUUUGAAUCCCUCUACUUCCGCCG
Molecule: transfer RNA, 93 nt
Filed under: Prevotella sp.
Lineage: Bacteria; Pseudomonadati; Bacteroidota; Bacteroidia; Bacteroidales; Prevotellaceae
Description: tRNA-Ser
Rfam family: tRNA
About the family: Transfer RNA (tRNA) molecules are approximately 80 nucleotides in length. Their secondary structure includes four short double-helical elements and three loops (D, anti-codon, and T loops).
Source: RNAcentral